AGUGAACGCUGGCGGCGUGCUUAACACAUGCAAGUCGAACGAGAACGGAUUAUAGCUUGCUAUAAUUGUCAGCUAAGUGGCGCACGGGUGAGUAAUGCAUAGGUAAUAUGCCUCUUACUAAGGGAUAACAAAUGGAAACGUUUGCUAAUACCUUAUACUCCUUAUUAACAGAAGUUAAGAAGGGAAAGAUUUAUUGGUAAGAGAUUAGCCUGUAUUGUAUCAGUUAGUUGGUGGGGUAAUGGCUUACCAAGACUAUGACACAUAACUGGUUUGAGAGGAUGAUCAGUCACACUGGAACUGAGACACGGUCCAGACUCCUACGGGAGGCAGCAGUGGGUAAUAUUGCACAAUGGACGAAAGUCUGAUGCAGCAACGCCGCGUGGAGGAUGACACAUUUCGGUGCGUAAACUCCUUUUAUAUGAGAAGAUAAUGACGGUAUUAUAUGAAUAAGCACCGGCUAACUCCGUGCCAGCAGCCGCCGUAA
RNAcentral lists this ribosomal RNA (484 nucleotides) under uncultured bacterium. Its description in RNAcentral is "partial 16S ribosomal RNA". It matches the Rfam family "Bacterial small subunit ribosomal RNA", at positions 29 to 523 of the family's 1533-position model. The record is from RNAcentral.